Molecule: ribosomal RNA, 497 nt
Filed under: uncultured bacterium
Lineage: Bacteria
Description: partial 16S ribosomal RNA
Rfam family: Bacterial small subunit ribosomal RNA
Source: RNAcentral
GAUGAACGCUGGCGGCGUGCCUAAUACAUGCAAGUCGAGCGAACGGACGAGAAGCUUGCUCCUCUGAUGUUAGCGGCGGACGGGUGAGUAACUCGUGGUUAACCUACCUAUAAGACUGGGACAACUUUGGGAAACCGGAGCUAAUACCGGAUAAUAUUUUGAACCGCAAGGUUCACAAGUGAAAGACGGUCUUGCUGUCACUUAUAGCUGGAUCCGGGCUGAAUUAGCAAGUUGGUAAGGUAACGGCUUACCAAGGCAACGAAGCAUAUCCGACCUGAAAGGGUGAUCGACCACACUGGAACUGAGACACGGUCCAGACUCCUAGGGGAGGCAGCGGAAGGGAAUCUUACGCAAGGAGCGAAGGCCUGACGGAGCAACGCGGGGGGAUGGAUGAAGGUCUCCGGACCGGAAAACGCUGUUGUUAGGAAGGAAGAUAUGUGUAAGUAACCGUGCACAUAUUGACGGUACCUAAUCAGAAAGCCACGGCUAACUACGUG